GCAGUGUGGUGCAAUGAAUAGGGAGCUGGCAAUAAACCAGGAAGAUCUGACUUCAAAUCCUGACAUUGACACAUCAUAAUUACCGGUCCCCGAGUAUAUCAUUUAAACUUUCAAUGCUCAAGAUGUCAAGAACAAGGUGAGAGGAACUGAAAGAACUUUCCACUAUACCUGAGACUGUGUGAGAAGGGGCCUUCAGAUGCAGCAUGAGUGAAUCUUUCUUCCACCUUCAUUUCUAGUCAUGCAAGAAAUAUUUGUUAUGCCUUGCCUCCCAUCAGAAUAUGUCUCAGACCAGACUUUCCCACAUUUUUCAUUCUGACAUGAGAACCCAAUCCCUAAAAAAAAUCUUCUGUUAACCUCUUCGCUGAUGAGCUGCUAUCUGAAGCUACUUUAACUGAGCUGUCCUCUGUGUCUCAGAUUACAGGAAAUCUGGGAAUGAUUACAGAAAAUGAUCCAGGCCUUUUCCUUCCUCCUAUUCAAUUCUGAACUCAACUUGACUAUUAUCAA
Phascolarctos cinereus (koala) is the source of this 504-nucleotide long non-coding RNA. RefSeq lists it as uncharacterized. NCBI's taxonomy places the organism in Eukaryota, Metazoa, Chordata, Mammalia, Diprotodontia, Phascolarctidae. The record is from RefSeq and is a predicted model, not a curated record.